GAGUUUGAUCGUGGCUCAGAGUGAACGCUGGCGGUAGGCCUAACACAUGCAAGUCGAACGGCAGCACAGAGGAGCUUGCUCCUUGGGUGGCGAGUGGCGGACGGGUGAGGAAUACAUCGGAAUCUACUCUGUCGUGGGGGAUAACGUAGGGAAACUUACGCUAAUACCGCAUACGACCUACGGGUGAAAGCAGGGGAUCUUCGGACCUUGCGCGAUUGAAUGAGCCGAUGUCGGAUUAGCUAGUUGGCGGGGUAAAGGCCCACCAAGGCGACGAUCCGUAGCUGGUCUGAGAGGAUGAUCAGCCACACUGGAACUGAGACACGGUCCAGACUCCUACGGGAGGCAGCAGUGGGGAAUAUUGGACAAUGGGCGCAAGCCUGAUCCAGCCAUACCGCGUGGGUGAAGAAGGCCU
This 412-nucleotide ribosomal RNA is filed under the name uncultured microorganism. Its description in RNAcentral is "bacterial SSU rRNA". It matches the Rfam family "Bacterial small subunit ribosomal RNA", at positions 9 to 417 of the family's 1533-position model. The record is from RNAcentral.